UACGUAGGGUGCGAGCGUUAAUCGGAAUUAUUGGGCGUAAAGCGUGCGCAGGCGGCGCGUUAAGACAGGUGUGAAAGCCCCGAGCUUAACUUGGGAAUUGCGCUUGUGACUGGCGUGCUGGAGUGUGGCAGAGGGAGGUGGAAUUCCACGUGUAGCAGUGAAAUGCGUAGAUAUCAAGUGGAACACCAGUGGCGAAGGCGAGUCUCUGGACAUUUCCUGACGCUGAGGCACGAAAGCCAGGGGAGCAAACGGG
Molecule: ribosomal RNA, 253 nt
Filed under: uncultured bacterium
Lineage: Bacteria
Description: partial 16S ribosomal RNA
Rfam family: Bacterial small subunit ribosomal RNA
Source: RNAcentral